GCGCCCUCCAGGGGCUUUCCGGACUCCUGCUCCGAGCACCGGCCGCCAGUGUGGCUCAACCGGAGUCCGGCAGCACCACAGAGGUCAGCGAGUCUGACGAGGACGCGGAAGCAGAGAACGAGGGAGAUGAAGGUGUAUCUGCUGCCACGGAGCCUGUCGACCCCGUGCUGCCGCCUGCUAGUCCUCGCCUCAAUGCCUCCAUCCAAAACACACUACCACAAGAAGCCGUUCCAACCAACUCCAGUUCAGCUGCAGAUGUGAGAGGACAGAAGCAAAAUCUGGUCGUCCAGUCGGUGUCUGUGGCCUCGGCUUCUCUCCAGUCGUCACAUGGCGAAGAGGGUGAAGGCGACAACUGCACAAUCUGCUUUGAGGCAUGGACGACAGCGGGCGAACACAGGCUGUCUG
Larimichthys crocea (large yellow croaker) is the source of this 405-nucleotide long non-coding RNA. RefSeq lists it as uncharacterized. NCBI's taxonomy places the organism in Eukaryota, Metazoa, Chordata, Actinopteri, Sciaenidae. The transcript has 3 exons. The record is from RefSeq and is a predicted model, not a curated record.